UUAUUAUUAGUAGAUUGGUGAAAAUUUAAUUUGAAAAAUGCAUGGGAGAGACUAUUUAUAGAUUUUUUAAAACCUAUUUGAAUAGUCACAACCCUUCAAUCUGAAUAGUCGCAUUCUUCUAAUACUCACAACUUCUCGCUUUUCAAAAGAUACUUAUGAAUAGUCACAACUUUUAGACAAUUUUUAGAAGGACACAACCUUACAACAUAGAAUUUUUAGAAAAGACACAACCCUCUACACAUAUUUUUCAAAAGACAUAACCUUUCAACAUAACUGAAGUUCACGACCUUAGAAAUUCAUUGGAAAUGACACAACCUUACAACAUAGAACUUUUAGAAAAGACACAACCCUUUACACUU
Molecule: long non-coding RNA, 359 nt
Filed under: Brassica napus (rape)
Lineage: Eukaryota; Viridiplantae; Streptophyta; Magnoliopsida; Brassicales; Brassicaceae
Description: long non-coding RNA (BNAP_LNC001631)
Source: RNAcentral